Molecule: long non-coding RNA, 151 nt
Organism: Corticium candelabrum
Lineage: Eukaryota; Metazoa; Porifera; Homoscleromorpha; Homosclerophorida; Plakinidae
Exons: 3
Source: RefSeq, a predicted model, not a curated record
AGACAAGCUAGUCUAGAAGAGUUCAAACUCCGACUCGUUUUGUUCGUUCCGGCUGAAACAAUACAACAACGACUCUGAACGGGAGCCAAAGUGAAUGACUCCGACCAACACACGGUGACUAAUGAUCGAGACACCUGUCAGUCAGGGGGGU